This 908-nucleotide ribosomal RNA is filed under the name uncultured marine bacterium. Its description in RNAcentral is "bacterial SSU rRNA". It matches the Rfam family "Bacterial small subunit ribosomal RNA", at positions 57 to 1011 of the family's 1533-position model. The record is from RNAcentral.
GCAAGUCGAACGGAGUAGCAAUACUCAGUGGCAGACGGGUGAGUAACAUGUGGGAAUCUUCCCUUUGGUGAGGAAUAACACGAGGAAACUUGUGCUAAUACCUCAUAAGUCUUUACGGAGAAAGCUUUAUGCGCCAAUGGAUGAGCCCGCAUUUGAUUAGUUUGUUGGUAGGGUAAUGGCCUACCAAGACUGUGAUCAAUAGCUGAUCUGAGAGGAUGAUCAGCCACAUUGGGACUGAGACACGGCCCAAACUCCUACGGGAGGCAGCAGUAGGGAAUAUUGCACAAUGGAGGAAACUCUGAUGCAGCGAUGCCGCGUGAGUGAAGAAGGCCUUUGGGUUGUAAAGCUCUUUCGUCGGGGAAGAAAAUGACUGUACCCGAAUAAGAAGGUCCGGCUAACUUCGUGCCAGCAGCCGCGGUAAUACGAAGGGACCUAGCGUAGUUCGGAAUUACUGGGCUUAAAGAGUUCGUAGGUGGUUAAAAUAGUUGGUGGUGAAAUCCCAGUGCUUAACUCUGGAACUGCCAUCGAAACUUUUUAGCUAGAGUUUGAUAGAGGAAAGCAGAAUUUCUAGUGUAGAGGUGAAAUUCGUAGAUAUUAGAAAGAAUACCAAUUGCGAAGGCAGCUUUCUGGAUCAUUACUGACACUGAGGAACGAAAGCAUGGGUAGCGAAGAGGAUUAGAUACCCUCGUAGUCCAUGCCGUAAACGAUGUGUGUUAGACGUUGGAAAUUUAUUUUCAGUGUCGCAGCGAAAGCAUUAAACACACCGCCUGGGGAGUACGACCGCAAGGUUAAAACUCAAAUGAAUUGACGGGGACCCGCACAAGUAGUGGAGCAUGUGGUUUAAUUCGAAGAUACGCGCAGAACCUUACCAACACUUGACAUGUUCGUCGCGACUUUAAGAGAUUAAA